Long non-coding RNA from Balaenoptera acutorostrata (minke whale), 5851 nucleotides. RefSeq lists it as uncharacterized. The transcript has 3 exons. Lineage: Eukaryota; Metazoa; Chordata; Mammalia; Artiodactyla; Balaenopteridae. The record is from RefSeq and is a predicted model, not a curated record.
AAGUGGAUGUUCUCUUCAUUUUACAGGUGAGAACACUGGAGUUCAGACAGCCUGGAAACUGUGCUAAAGUCAGGAUCUGGUUCCAAAUCUGCCUCCAGAGCCUGGGCUUUAUUCCUCAGCUAUAGCCUGCUUCCCCAACCUCCAUCCGGAUUAGGAUACUCGACUACGUCCUCUUUCCAUAGGCUGAUAUCCACAGUUUUACCUUCAUUUGAGAAGAAAGAUACUGGAAGCUGAGAGACUUUAAAAUAAUGACAGUCUCUUUUGGAACACGUUUCUAUGAACUGCAGCAGAAUGCAGAAAUCACCAAACCUUUGUGAUUGUGGAUAUCCAUUGGAUUUAUUUAAAGCCCAAUCCUCUUCACAGAAGAAGGUCCUUUCCAGAUAAGAGGAGAUAACUUUAAGCUCCCCGCACCCCCUAGCGAUGGGACCAUAGCAACUGCCUACUCACCACCCCUUACCGGGUCGACCACCAUCACCACCACUUACCAGCACCACAGCGCCACCUGAGCCUGCCAGCAGAGAGCCACUAGACCACUCUUCUAGAAACACUGGUGUUUUCCAGAUGUCUCCCUUGCUUACAGAUCUCCUAUGAUUCCCCAUCAUUAACAGAAUAAAGCGAAAACCUCUCAGCCUGACGUUCCUGAGUCCUCUCUUGUCCUGUGAUGAAAGCCGACCCAGAAGCAAAUUCUGAGGGAAAUGUAAGUCUUGUUUCCGAAUUAUUCCUGCUCUUGUGUAGGGAGCGUGCCAGCCUUGUCUUCAAACACUCGUCCUGCCCAGGCUCCUCAACCUUCUUGUCAGUUUCAGCCGUACCUUCACCUCCGUCGACUGGUAACACGUGUGGAUCAGAGCUUAAUCAAUGACACAGACUGUCGGUGGCACAUGCCAUCAGCACUUCAGAGACUUCUCAAGGAGAAUAUAUUUUAUACUGGUGUGAACCUGGACCAUCUGAGAGCUCCUUCCCAGGACCAGAAUAUCUUGACCCGUAGGUAGAAAUGCUUCCCUGAACUCUGCUCCUCCCCUAUUGGUUCAUCUCUUCACUUUUCCUCAAACACACUCUAUUAUCAUCCCUCCCAUGUAGCUUUGCUGACAUCUGUCCUUCCACCUCCUCCCGGCAGCUCCCAUCCCAGCCUUCCUCAACCUCCCUCCUCUGAACUCGGGUAUGUCACUCAUUUGUUCUGACACUUUGAAUUCCCCGAAUUCUUAAAAUUCGUGGGGAUGGUGGGAGUUUUUCAGUGAAUACUGGGCGGGAAGAUAUUCUCCUGAAUUCUCUUAUUGUACCAUGUUUGUGGUUUCAAUUUUUAAAAAUAUUAUCUAAAUCUCUGAUACAUUUGGAACUUGUUUUGGUGUGAUACAUGAAUUAAGAAAACAAUUUUACCAUUUGUCUCAACACCCAAUUAUUCAAAAUCAAAUCUCCCUGGUGAUUGGAAAUGCCAUCUUCAUUAUAAUUUAAGUUCUCAUCUAUUUGGGAUCUCUUUUUAUGGUUCUACAUUCUGUUCAACUGAUCUGUCUAGCCAUGCAAUGAUGUAAAACCAUUUUAGUACUUAUGGCUUUUUAAAUCUAUUUUGAUAUUUGCUAGAGCUGGUCUUUUUUUCAUUAUUCUUGUUUUUCAAAAACUUCCUGGUUAUCACCUGUUUAUUUUUCCAUAUGAACUUAAUAAUCCUCUUGUCUGGUCUUCCUCCACCAAACUCCUGUUGCUGACAUUAUCAGAUCUGAAUUUCAAAAAUCAUUCUGGCUACGGUGUAGAGAACAAGGGUACAUGAGGGAAGACCAGUGAGAAAUGCUAUCGCACGAGUUCACGAGAGACGUGAGGGUAACCUGGACUAGGAGGGUGACAGUAGAGAUGGAGAGAAAAAUAGGAUCAAGUGAUACAGAAAAAUUAAAACUGGCAGGACUUGGUGAUGAGUGUGAUUUGGCAGUUUAGGAAGAGGUAGGUGGUUUUCAAGUCUUGCCCGGAGCAACCCUGGGAUUUAGUCCAGUUCUAUAAAGACCCCAAUCUGGAUCAAUCCAAGGAUGCACUGUUAGUUUGGGAGUUGCCCUGAAAAGCAGGGUGCUCUUGGAAAAAGACCUGGAGCUCUUCUGUAAAGAGAUAUCAUUGGUUCAGACAAGAUACCCCAAAGUGAAUUGCUUCCCCCAACCCGUGUCAGGUAUCAGGAAUACCAAACCAGUUUCUAGAGCAUUUCACAGGCUGUGGGAGUGUACCCAUGACCUCAAACCUCAUGGCUCUAAAUGGCAACAGUGUAUUCUGAGACAUUCUGUUACAUCAUAUUUGGGGACUGCAGAGCCAACUUGUGGUUAGUGAAGAAAAAGUACAAUACUUCAGAAGUUUUCCUUUCUUCAGUUCCUCAGAAAGUGAAAUUACCAUAAGAUUCCACUCCUAGGUAGAUUACACCCAAAAGAAUUACAAAUGGGAACACAAAGAGAUCCUUAUAUACCAAUGUUCAUAGCAGCAUUAUUCACGAUAGCCAAAAGGUGGAAACAGCCCAAAUAUCCAUCAUCAGAUGAGCAGAUAAACAAAAUGUUCUAUAGCCAUACAAUGGAUGCAGCCUUCUAAAGGAAGGAAAUUCUGACACAUGCUACAACAUGGAGGGACCUAGAAAGCAUUAUGGUGAAAUAAGCCAGAAACAAAAGGACAAAUAUUGUAUGAUUCCAUUUAUGUAAAGGUACCUAGAAAAGGCAAAUUCAUAGAAACAGAGAGUAGAAUAGAGGUUACCAGGGACUGGAGGAAGGGGGAAAUGGGAAGUUAUUGUUAAAUAGCGUCUGUUUGGGAUGAUGAAAAGGUUCUGGGAAUAUGUGGUGGUGAUGGUUGCACAACGUUGAGAACUUAAUGCCACUUAAUUGUACAAUUAAAAUUGGUUAGGGCUUCCCUGGUGGCUCAGUGGUUAAGAAUCUGCCUGCCAAUCCAGGGGACACAGGUUCGAGCCCUGGUCCGGGAAGAUCCCACAUGCUGCAGAACAACUAAGCCCAUGUGUCACAACUACUGAGCCUGUGUGCCACAACUACUGAACGUGCGCUCUGGAGCCCGCGAGCCACAACUACUGAGCCUGCAUGCCACAACUACUGAACCCCGUGUGCCUAGAGCCCGUGCUCCACAACAAGAGAAGCCACCGCAGUGAGAAGCCCACGCACCACAACGAAGAGUAGCCCCCGCUCGCCGCAACUAGAGAAAGCCUGCGCGCAGCAACAAAGACCCAACACAGCCAAAAAUAAAAAAACAAAUAAAUAAAUAAAUAAAAUUGGUUAAAAGGGUAAAUUUUAUGUGUAUUUUACCAAAUUUGGAAUGUAUAGAAAAAAAUCACUAUGUUGUCUAACAGAAAUUAACAUAUUAUUACAGGUCUAUACUUCGAAAACAAACUCAUAGAAAAAGACCUCAGAUUUGUGGAUGCCAGAGAUGGGGAAUAGGGGGAGGGGGAAUUGGAGGAAAGCAGUCAAAAGGCACGAACUUCCAGUUAUAAGAUAAAGAAGUACUAGGGAUGUAAUGUACAACAUGGUAAAUAUAAUGAGCACUGCUGCGUGUUUUAUAUGAAAGUUGUUAGGAGAGGAAAUCCUAAGAGUUCUCAUCGCAAGGAAAACAAUUUUUUUCUAUUUCUUUAAUUUCGCAUCUCUAUGAUAUGACGGAUGUUCACUGAACUUAUUGUGAUCAUCAUUUCGUGGUGUAUGUAAGUCAAAUAAUUAUGCUGUACACCUGAAACUCAUACAGUGCCGUAGGUCAAUUAUAUAAACUGGAAGAAAAAAUGGUAAAUUUUAUGUUAUGUGUAUUUUACCAAAUUAAAAAAAGAAUAUAUUUUUUAAAGUUUUCUUUUCUUACAAAAGAAUGUGUCAUAAUAGAGGCACCUCCCCUCACCACCGAGACAAAUUAUGAUCAUGUUAUUAGAGCUAUAAGUCGUAUUAGCUCUCUGAGACCUACGUUUUGCAGAGUAGGCAACAUACUCUCUUACCCAAAACAAUACAAAAUAUUUUGGGAAACAAACUAUAUAGCCUGCAUCUCCGGAAAUCCCCUCCCAAGUGGCUAACCACAAAGGGAGGAAACAUAACAAGGUGAAACCAAAAGUUUACAGUCAAAACUUAGAGUCCAUGUUAUUUCGUUGUGUACUAGACCAAUGCAGUGCAAACGUGCACUCGGGAAUGAUACGAUUGCAGCAGUGAAGCUUUCUCUGCCUUGGUCUUUUCUUUAUGCCAUCAUUUAGGGAUAAUCUUGUUCCCAAAUGUCUUUUGAAGCAAAUAGGUCUAAGGCAUUCGAUUAAACAGAAGCUAUUUAAAACUCACUUGGCAAAUCACCUGAAUAUUAAGUUAAUAGAAUUAGGCAGUAUCCUUUGAAGAGCUCUGAAGACAGCUAUGGAUGAAACUGUGUUACUGUUGAUAAAACUGAUGUUACAAAUAACCGCUGAGCUAGAGACUAUCAAGCUGCCAAUGCUGCUUCCAUGCAAAAAAAUAUAUAUUUGUUCCAGAGGACACCCUAAGAGGAAUCCAUCAUAAAAUGUAGGAGCAUCUAAAUGCAAGAAUGAUCAAUCCAUUGAGUGAAUAGUAACAUGUUUUCCAGAAAAAAGAAAGGAUAAUUGAUUAAAAUUGUACAAAUAAGUGGAUGUAAAUUAUUUAUAGUGAUAAAAUUCUUUGGCAAAAUUCUACACAAGCAAAUUUUUCUAACCACAUGGUCAUUACGAUAUUAAAGAGUGUGCAAAGGUUCAAGUGUUGGCUCAAUGACAGUAAAUGAAGGGUAGGAAUAAAGGGAAAUGCUUCUCAAGGGAGGAAGGUAAUAGCCCUUUCAAGUCGUUGCUAUGUAUCAUGAAGAUAUGUGAACUUUGAAAUCUACAAGUUUAUGGAUAUCAGUGAGCUUGGGAAGAUACCAAGUUAAGGAAGAUAAGUGUAACAGGAUGGUAAAAUGAAAUUUUCAGCUGAGGCCCCUGAAAUAGACACCACAUUCUAAAGAGGUACAAGAAUACUCAAUGCAGGAUUUAUAAAGCAGAUGGCAUAAUUUUAAAAAUAACCACUACACACAGAUUAGAAGGACCAAAAUUUGGAACUUCGACAACACCAAGUGUUGGCCAGGCUGUGGGCAACAGGAACUCUCAUUCGUUGCUGGUGGGAAUGCAGAAGGACACAGACACUGUGGGAAACAGUUUGGGGUUCUUACAAAACAAAACAUACUAUACAAUCCAGCAAUCACACUCCUUGGUAUUUACACAAAGGAGUUGAAAACUUAUGUCCACACAAAAAUCUGCACACGGAUGUUUAUAGCAGCUUUAUUCACAAUUGUCAAAACUUGGAAGCAACCCAGAUGUCCUUCAGUAAGUGAAUGGGUAAAUAAACUGGUACAUCCAGACAAUGGAAUACUAUUUAGCACUAAAAAGAAAUAAGCCAGCAAGCCAUGAAAAGAUGUGGAAGAACCUUAAAUGCAGACUACUAAGUGAAAGAAGCCAGUCUGGAAAGGCUGUAUGAUUCCAACUAUAUGACAUUCUGGAAAAGAAAAAACUAUGAACACAGUAAAAAUAUCAGUGGUUUUCCGGGAUGAGGGUGGAGGGUGUUAAUAGGGGGAGCACAGAAGAUUUUUUAGGGCAGUGAAAAUACUGUGUAUUAUAAUGAUGGCUAUAUGUCAUUGUACAUUUGUCUAAAUCCAUAGAAUGAAUGUGUAACACCAAGAGUGAAUUUUAAGGUAAACUGUGGACUUUUGGGUAAUUAUGAUGUGACAGUGUAGGUUUGUCAAUUGUAAGAAAUGUAUCAUUUUGGUGAGUGAUGUUGAUAACGGGAAAGGCUAUAUAUGUGUGGGUACCAGGGGUAUAUGAGAAAUCUAUGUAUCUUCCUCUCAAUUUUGUUGUAAACCUAACACUACUGUAAAAAAAAAAAUUAAGUCUAAAAUA